AGCGAACGCUGGCGGCAGGCCUAACACAUGCAAGUCGAACGAACUCUUCGUAGGUAGUUGCUCACGGGUGUGUAGCACGUCGGAACGUUCCGGUUUGUUCGGGAUAACUCUUUUAAACUUGUGCUAAUACCGGAUGUGCCCUGCUGGUGAAAGAUUUGUCGCCAGUAUAGCGGCCCGCGUCGUAUUAGCUAGUUGGGGAGGUAAGGGCUCACCAAGGCGACGAUCAGUAGCUGGUCUGAGAGGAUGACCAGCCACACUGGGACUGAGACACGGCCCAGAAUCAUACGGGAGGCAGCAGUGGGGAAUCUUGCGCAAUGGGCGAAAGUCUGAAGCAGCCAUGCGGUGUGAAUGAUGAAGGUUUUAGGAGUGUAACAUUAUUUCAACGGGGACGAUAAUGACGGUACCCGGAGAAGAAGCCCCGGCUAACUUCGUG
This 433-nucleotide ribosomal RNA is filed under the name uncultured bacterium. RNAcentral describes it as "partial 16S ribosomal RNA". It matches the Rfam family "Bacterial small subunit ribosomal RNA", at positions 29 to 507 of the family's 1533-position model. The record is from RNAcentral.